This 73-nucleotide transfer RNA is filed under the name Streptomyces sp. 846.5. It matches the Rfam family "tRNA". From Rfam's summary of the family: Transfer RNA (tRNA) molecules are approximately 80 nucleotides in length. Their secondary structure includes four short double-helical elements and three loops (D, anti-codon, and T loops). The record is from Rfam by way of RNAcentral. Lineage: Bacteria; Bacillati; Actinomycetota; Actinomycetes; Kitasatosporales; Streptomycetaceae.
GGCCCCGUAGCGCAGAGGCAGUCGCAUCCCCUUGGCAUGGGGGACCACGCCGGUUCGAAUCCGGUCGGGACCA